CCUGCUGAGUGUCCCAGCUGGCUCCCUUCUUGCCCUGGCAGGGUGUGGACUUCCUGCAGAAACUCCACCAAAUCCCAGCUCAGCACUGUGCUGACAGUCCUGGCCUCUGUGCUCUUCACUCCUGCACAGGGCUCACCAGAGGUGACUGGCUAGUUGGAUAAGGUGGAGCCCCUGCUCCCCAGCACCCCUCUACUCAGUGUGCUGACCAGGGCUAGUCUGCUGUUGACCAACAGGGCCUUGGUAGGAAGACGAGCCUGGAACACUCAACAGGUUAAAACUCUUUUUAAAGAAGCAGUGAAGACCAUGCCCAAUCUUUCCACUGAGAUGUUUCUUGCCCUUGGAAGCAUUGCUUGAGGUGUAAGCUGCACAGCCCUGCGACAGGUCAUCCGGGACAAGCCAUCAUUUUCCUCAAUGCGGAGUGUCCUUGAAUUCAUGAAAGAGCAGUCUGUUCCUCCAUUCCUCACUGGGUGAGCACUAUUAAGAGGUUCCCUACUGACAUGCCGGAUACUUUAAGGAAGAUGAUUGUGCAGGACUCCCAUCACAUCCUGCUCCUACCCAGUACAAAACAGGAUAUUCUAGUGGACAAGAUGGAGCAGAGACUUGGCAUGUACACAGCAGAGUUCACUGAGGAUGAGUUCUGCUCACUGGGCAUCAUGGCGACCUAUGUAGUGGAUGAGGUGUUUCUGGAGCUUCUUUGUGGAGAGCCUGGAGUUCCUCAGAGUUCUGCUACAAGAGCAGCAAGAGGGACAACGUCGCACCCUCUUAAACAACCACCCCACACACCCCAUUUAACCUUUAGUGAUAACUCUUGUCUCCUCACAUCAAAUGAAAAAUGAGCCUUUUUGUGCGCUCUUAGCCCCGUUCAGAACUGAAGAUACUCAAUCAAGUGGACAGAUUAUUAUUUUUCUUCCUUCCCAAAGCGACGCUGCAGCAGGUUCCCCAGGAGUGCCAAGAUGGGGGCGCGGUGGCUUCAAGCUGGGCCGUCUGAGGCUGACCUGUUCAGAAGAGCAGCAGCUUUAACGGGACUGCUGAGCCAUAGCCUGGCUUUUGGACCCAUAAGCUCCUGGCGCCCUGAGGUCUUCAUUGAGCUGGCCUCCCAGAUAUGGCCAUGUCAUCUUUGGUGAAGGUUGAAGGACUGACACCAUUCUGGCUGUGUCCCUCAUCCGGGCAGACAAGUGUGAGGAUUCAAAAACACAUGUCAGUUUAUCUUCCAUGUUUUGUAUUGCCUCCUAUCAAAUAGUUGUUUUUCUUUGUGUCCAUGUCGUGUUUGACCCAGCCCAGAAUGUUUCUCCUAUAAACAGUGAUUGAUUUUGUCACGUGUGCAGCUGAUAGCUGUCUUUUUUUUUUAACGAGGCAAGUCCGUUAAGAACACAUUCUUACUUUCAAUGAUGGCCUAGGAACAGCCUUUUUUCAGGGGCAGAACGUCAAAAAUUUUCCUUGUCAGCUCGGGAAUUCGAUCUUGCACCACGAGGCUACCUAUCUAGCAAAUUUCACUGAAGUUAACAUUGUCUUGAUCUUAGUAGAGGGUAAUUCAAUUAGAUGCGUAUUAUGUCAGUACAUACUUACAGCAUGUAUAUUUUCAAAUUUUGAGUCUGAAUAAGAAGAGGAAUCAGGAUCGAGUGGAAGAAGGACAGCUCAAGGUUUGAGGGAGUGUUGGAUGUAGGAUGCAAUUGUAUGCUAAUUCUAUUGUUGAUGUUGUUGACUUUGUCUCCAUACAGUUAUGGUUGCUUUUGUGUUUCUGUGUCCCCAUGCAGGCAGGUCACCAGGGCUGGCACUGUGCCCUAGUACUCUCUGUCACCUUCUGGGACUGCUGAUGGUGCUGUUAGUUUCUGCUCUGUAAUGGCCUCCCCUUCUGAUGUGUAACCCUCUCACCCCCAAUGGGCCGUGAGGACUCUCUCCCACACAACUACAAUGUUAAACAAUAUGUGUAAUAUAUUUGAGUAAGGCUUUUGUAAUGGAUGGUUAUUCAAAAAAUGCAGAACUAAGAACAUAUAUAUUCCUUGGUUCACUCCAAACCUGACUGCCCUCGACCAGCACAAAAACAUCCUGUGG
Molecule: RNA transcript, 2052 nt
Organism: Oncorhynchus gorbuscha (pink salmon)
Lineage: Eukaryota; Metazoa; Chordata; Actinopteri; Salmoniformes; Salmonidae
Exons: 8
Source: RefSeq, a predicted model, not a curated record